CCCUAGCUGGUCUGAGAGGAUGACCAGCCACACUGGAACUGAGACACGGUCCAGACUCCUACGGGAGGCAGCAGUGGGGAAUAUUGCACAAUGGGCGCAAGCCUGAUGCAGCCAUGCCGCGUGUAUGAAGAAGGCCUUCGGGUUGUAAAGUACUUUCAGCGGGGAGGAAGGUGUUGCGGUUAAUAACCGCAGCAAUUGACGUUACCCGCAGAAGAAGCACCGGCUAACUCCGUGCCAGCAGCCGCGGUAAUACGGAGGGUGCAAGCGUUAAUCGGAAUUACUGGGCGUAAAGCGCACGCAGGCGGUCUGUCAAGUCGGAUGUGAAAUCCCCGGGCUCAACCUGGGAACUGCAU
This 353-nucleotide ribosomal RNA is filed under the name Salmonella enterica subsp. enterica serovar Newport. RNAcentral describes it as "bacterial SSU rRNA". It matches the Rfam family "Bacterial small subunit ribosomal RNA", at positions 281 to 626 of the family's 1533-position model. Lineage: Bacteria; Pseudomonadati; Pseudomonadota; Gammaproteobacteria; Enterobacterales; Enterobacteriaceae. The record is from RNAcentral.